RNAcentral lists this long non-coding RNA (212 nucleotides) under Gallus gallus (chicken). Lineage: Eukaryota; Metazoa; Chordata; Aves; Galliformes; Phasianidae. The record is from RNAcentral.
GUGGCAUCCACCAGAGUGAGACGCAUGGGGCUGUCAGGAACGGCUGGGUACAACUGCACGUGUUUCUAGGGAGCAGGGAUGUGCUGGUGCUUCUUGACAGUUUCUCUUCCAACCGCACUUUUGGAAAACAGUUGAAGGACUGCCAAGCUCGGUGGCACUGCGGUGGUUUCCAUUGGUGACAGAAAGAAAGCUAGAGCAGCAGUGUGUCCCCU